GGAUAUGGCGCAGUUGGUUAGCGCGCCAGAUUGUGGUUCUGGAGACCGAGGGUUCGAGUCCCUCUAUC
This 68-nucleotide transfer RNA is filed under the name human gut metagenome. It matches the Rfam family "tRNA". Rfam says of the family: Transfer RNA (tRNA) molecules are approximately 80 nucleotides in length. Their secondary structure includes four short double-helical elements and three loops (D, anti-codon, and T loops). Further hydrogen bonds mediate the characteristic L-shaped molecular structure. tRNAs have two regions of fundamental functional importance: the anti-codon, which is responsible for specific mRNA codon recognition, and the 3' end, to which the tRNAs corresponding amino acid is attached (by aminoacyl-tRNA synthetases). tRNAs cope with the degeneracy of the genetic code in two manners: having more than one tRNA (with a specific anti-codon) for a particular amino acid; and 'wobble' base-pairing, i.e. permitting non-standard base-pairing at the 3rd anti-codon position. The record is from RNAcentral.